RNAcentral lists this ribosomal RNA (253 nucleotides) under uncultured bacterium. Its description in RNAcentral is "partial 16S ribosomal RNA". It matches the Rfam family "Bacterial small subunit ribosomal RNA", at positions 524 to 776 of the family's 1533-position model. The record is from RNAcentral.
UACGUAGGGGGCAAGCGUUGUCCGGAUUUAUUGGGCGUAAAGAGCGUGUAGGCGGCUAGGUAGGUCCGUUGUGAAAACUCGAGGCUCAACCUCGAGACGCCGAUGGAAACCAUCUGGCUAGAGUCCGGAAGAGGAGAGUGGAAUUCCUGGUGUAGCGGUGAAAUGCGCAGAUAUCAGGAGGAACACCAAUGGCGAAGGCAGCUCGCUGGGACGUGACUGACGCUGAGACGCGAAAGCGUGGGGAGCAAACAGG